Molecule: ribosomal RNA, 226 nt
Filed under: uncultured bacterium
Lineage: Bacteria
Description: partial 16S ribosomal RNA
Rfam family: Bacterial small subunit ribosomal RNA
Source: RNAcentral
GAUCAUGGCUCAAGAUGAACGCUAGCUACAGGCUUAACACAUGCAAGUCGCGGGGUAACAUCUGGUAGAGCUUGCUCUUCCAGGAUGACGACCGGCGCACGGGUGAGUAACGCGUAUCCAACCUGGCCCAUACCACGGGAUAGCCCGUCGAAAGGCGGAUUAAUACCGUAUGCUGUCAUUAAGAUGCAUAUAUUGAUGACGAAAGGACUGGCGGUAUGGGAUGGGG